CUUCUUUCCUCCCGAGUGCUUGCACUCAAUUGGAAAGAGGAGUGGCGGACGGGUGAGUAACACGUGGGUAACCUACCCAUCAGAGGGGGAUAACACUUGGAAACAGGUGCUAAUACCGCAUAACAGUUUAUGCCGCAUGGCAUAAGAGUGAAAGGCGCUUUCGGGUGUCGCUGAUGGAUGGACCCGCGGUGCAUUAGCUAGUUGGUGAGGUAACGGCUCACCAAGGCCACGAUGCAUAGCCGACCUGAGAGGGUGAUCGGCCACACUGGGACUGAGACACGGCCCAGACUCCUACGGGAGGCAGCAGUAGGGAAUCUUCGGCAAUGGACGAAAGUCUGACCGAGCAACGCCGCGUGAGUGAAGAAGGUUUUCGGAUCGUAAAACUCUGUUGUUAGAGAAGAACAAGGACGUUAGUAACUGAACGUCCCCUGACGGUAUCUAACCAGAAAGCCACGGCUAACUACGUGCCAGCAGCCGCGGUAAUACGUAGGUGGCAAGCGUUGUCCGGAUUUAUUGGGCGUAAAGCGAGCGCAGGCGGUUUCUUAAGUCUGAUGUGAAAGCCCCCGGCUCAACCGGGGAGGGUCAUUGGAAACUGGGAGACUUGAGUGCAGAAGAGGAGAGUGGAAUUCCAUGUGUAGCGGUGAGAUGCGUAGAUAUAUGGAGGAACACCAGUGGCGAAGGCGGCUCUCUGGUCUGUAACUGACGCUGAGGCUCGAAAGCGUGGGGAGCAAGCAGGAUUAGAUACCCUGGUAGUCCACGCCGUAAACGAUGAGUGCUAAGUGUUGGAGGGUUUCCGCCCUUCAGUGCUGCAGCAAACG
Molecule: ribosomal RNA, 818 nt
Filed under: uncultured low G+C Gram-positive bacterium
Lineage: Bacteria; Bacillati; Bacillota
Description: bacterial SSU rRNA
Rfam family: Bacterial small subunit ribosomal RNA
Source: RNAcentral